GCUGUAACCUAGUGGUAGAGAAUCUGCCUGGAAACAGAGGGUCCCAGGUUCUGAAAUCCUGGAGAGCAGCU
Podarcis lilfordi (Lilford's wall lizard) is the source of this 71-nucleotide non-coding RNA. The record is from the annotation of a GenBank genome assembly. Lineage: Eukaryota; Metazoa; Chordata; Lepidosauria; Squamata; Lacertidae.